GGCAGGCCAUCCGGUCCCGGCGAUUUGCCCGUCUGCGACGUCUUGACUGCAUGCUUGAUCCUCCAAGCGUCUCAUGUCUGCGGAGGUCAUGCAUCUCUGGAUCUCCUAUCGUUUAGUCGUUGGGUCUCUGGGUUGGUCCGCUGCUAUGUUGUAUAGUGAUUCAUUAUAUUGCUGAAAGACCUGUAAUAUCUCAUCCGGGAGGUGGCAUAUGUGUAUCGUUGUAUCCUUGAUCUUGGGAAUGUAUAGUUGGUUCCUCGCUUGUCUUAGUAGGGUUGCUGAUAGGCACCCGCAUUUAUUGCCAUGUUCGGUAAGCAGAUGAUUAGGUUUGUGGUCAGCCAUGCCCUCGACCCCGACCAUUCUGUGGUGACGGAAUCGUUGGUAUGUGCUCUGAAUGGUUUGGUUUAGUAAUGUCGAGAGUUGGCUUCUCUUCGUGAGGAGGUCACUGUAGACUUGUUUAUCCAGUCCGAGUUUGUGCUUCCAUUCCAACUCGUCGAUGGCUUUGGCUAGGGCGGACAUCUCGCCGGUGGCCUCCAGUUUUUUUUCACUGAACAUUGUGUUAUAAAGUGGGCUCGGAUUACUGUCUUGUGUGCCUCCCAGCAGUUCAGUG
This is a non-coding RNA of Pelobates cultripes (western spadefoot toad), 607 nucleotides long. Lineage: Eukaryota; Metazoa; Chordata; Amphibia; Anura; Pelobatidae. The record is from the annotation of a GenBank genome assembly.